GUACGGGAGGCAGCAGUGGGGAAUUUUGCGCAAUGGGCGAAAGCCUGACGCAGCAACGCCGCGUGAGUGAUGAAGGCUUUCGGGUCGUAAAGCUCUGUCAGAGGGAAAGAAGUGUAUUGUGGCUAAUAUCCACGAUACUUGACGGUACCCUCAAAGGAAGCACCGGCUAACUCCGUGCCAGCAGCCGCGGUAAUACGGGGGGUGCAAGCGUUGUUCGGAAUUAUUGGGCGUAAAGAGCGUGUAGGCGGUUUGUUUAGUCUGAUGUGAAAGCCCUGGGCUCAACCCAGGAAGUGCAUUGGAUACUGGCAGACUUGAAUACGGGAGAGGGUAGUGGAAUUCCUAGUGUAGGAGUGAAAUCCGUAGAUAUUAGGAGGAACACCGGUGGCGAAGGCGGCUACCUGGACCGAUAUUGACGCUGAGACGCGAAAGCGUGGGUAGCAAACAGGAUUAGAUACCCCUGUAGUCCU
RNAcentral lists this ribosomal RNA (467 nucleotides) under uncultured bacterium. Its description in RNAcentral is "bacterial SSU rRNA". It matches the Rfam family "Bacterial small subunit ribosomal RNA", at positions 339 to 797 of the family's 1533-position model. The record is from RNAcentral.